RNAcentral lists this ribosomal RNA (468 nucleotides) under uncultured bacterium. RNAcentral's name for it is "partial 16S ribosomal RNA". It matches the Rfam family "Bacterial small subunit ribosomal RNA", at positions 28 to 507 of the family's 1533-position model. The record is from RNAcentral.
GACGAACGCUGGCGGCGUGCUUAACACAUGCAAGUCGAACGGAAAGGCCCUGCUUUUGUGGGGUGCUCGAGUGGCGAACGGGUGAGUAACACGUGAGUAACCUGCCCUUGACUUUGGGAUAACUUCAGGAAACUGGGGCUAAUACCGGAUAGGAGCUCCUGCUGCAUGGUGGGGGUUGGAAAGUUUCGGCGGUUGGGGAUGGACUCGCGGCUUAUCAGCUUGUUGGUGGGGUAGUGGCUUACCAAGGCUUUGACGGGUAGCCGGCCUGAGAGGGUGACCGGCCACAUUGGGACUGAGGUACGGCCCAGACGCCUACGGGAGGCAGCAGUGGGGAAUAUUGCACAAUGGGGGGAAGCCUGAUGCAGCAACGCCGCGUGCGGGAUGACGGCUUUCGGGUUGUAAACAGCUUUCGCCUGUGACGAAGCGUGAGUGACGGUAAUGGGUAAAGAAGCACCGGCUAACUACGUG